AUCACUUUUCGGUCUUUUGCCUAAGAUCAAGUGUAGUAUCUGUUCGUAUCCAUUUAAUAUCUGAUAUGUUUUCUAUCUGAUGACAAUAUAGUAAAUGAAUUUUUGGCACUAGGAACUGGAAUAGGAGCUUGCUCUGUCCAUUCCACACCUCGACCUGGUUUUGCGGUACCUGCAGAAAUGGUGCACCAAAA
Molecule: small nuclear RNA, 191 nt
Organism: Suncus etruscus (white-toothed pygmy shrew)
Lineage: Eukaryota; Metazoa; Chordata; Mammalia; Eulipotyphla; Soricidae
Product: U2 spliceosomal RNA
Exons: 1
Source: RefSeq, a predicted model, not a curated record